GGAGGGUUCGCAUAGUGGCCCAGUGCGUUCGCUUGGAAAGCGAAUAUGCCGAAAGGCAUCACAGGUUCAAAUCCUGUACCCUCCGCCU
RNAcentral lists this transfer RNA (88 nucleotides) under Candidatus Moranbacteria bacterium RIFCSPHIGHO2_02_FULL_40_12b. RNAcentral describes it as "tRNA-Ser". It matches the Rfam family "tRNA". Rfam says of the family: Transfer RNA (tRNA) molecules are approximately 80 nucleotides in length. Their secondary structure includes four short double-helical elements and three loops (D, anti-codon, and T loops). Further hydrogen bonds mediate the characteristic L-shaped molecular structure. tRNAs have two regions of fundamental functional importance: the anti-codon, which is responsible for specific mRNA codon recognition, and the 3' end, to which the tRNAs corresponding amino acid is attached (by aminoacyl-tRNA synthetases). tRNAs cope with the degeneracy of the genetic code in two manners: having more than one tRNA (with a specific anti-codon) for a particular amino acid; and 'wobble' base-pairing, i.e. permitting non-standard base-pairing at the 3rd anti-codon position. Lineage: Bacteria; Candidatus Moraniibacteriota. RNAcentral also lists the same sequence under 1 other name. The record is from RNAcentral.